This 460-nucleotide ribosomal RNA is filed under the name uncultured bacterium. RNAcentral describes it as "partial 16S ribosomal RNA". It matches the Rfam family "Bacterial small subunit ribosomal RNA", at positions 338 to 795 of the family's 1533-position model. The record is from RNAcentral.
CCUACGGGAGGCAGCAGUGAGGAAUAUUGGUCAAUGGACGAGAGUCUGAACCAGCCAAGUAGCGUGAAGGAUGACUGCCCUAUGGGUUGUAAACUUCUUUUAUAUGGGAAUAAAAUGUUCCACGUGUGGGAUUUUGUAUGUACCAUAUGAAUUAGGACUGGCUAAAUCCGUGCCAGCAGCCGCGGGAAUACGGAGGAUCCGAGCGUUAUCCGUAUUUAUUGGGUUUAAAGGGAGCGUAGGUGGAUUGUUAAGUCAGUUGGGAAAGUUUGCGGCUCAACCGUAAAAUUGCAGUUGAAACUGGCAGUCUGGAGUACAGUAGAGGUGGGCGGAAUUCGUGGUGUAGCGGUGAAAUGCUUAGAUAUCACGAAGAACUCCGAUUGCGAAGGCAGUUCACUGGACUGCAACUGACACUGAGGCUCGAAAGUGUGGGUAUCAAACAGGAUUAGAUACCCGAGUAGUC